GUCUACGGCCAUACUACCCUGAACAAGUCCAACCCCAUCUCAUCUUGGAAGCUAAGUAGAGUCGGGCCUGGUUAGUACUGGAUAGGAAGACCAGGUGCUGUAGGCA
This 106-nucleotide ribosomal RNA is filed under the name Pteropus alecto (black flying fox). The record is from RNAcentral. Lineage: Eukaryota; Metazoa; Chordata; Mammalia; Chiroptera; Pteropodidae.